This 497-nucleotide ribosomal RNA is filed under the name uncultured bacterium. RNAcentral's name for it is "partial 16S ribosomal RNA". It matches the Rfam family "Bacterial small subunit ribosomal RNA", at positions 28 to 507 of the family's 1533-position model. The record is from RNAcentral.
GAUGAACGCUGGCGGCGUGCCUAAUACAUGCAAGUCGAGCGAACAGACGAGGAGCUUGCUCCUCUGACGUUAGCGGCGGACGGGUGAGUAACACGUGGAUAACCUACCUAUAAGACUGGGAUAACUUCGGGAAACCGGAGCUAAUACCGGAUAACAUGUUGAACCGCAUGGUUCAACAGUGAAAGACGGUCUUGCUGUCACUUAUAGAUGGAUCCGCGCCGCAUUAGCUGGUUGGUAAGGUAACGGCUUACCAAGGCAACGAUGCGUAGCCGACCUGAGAGGGUGAUCGGCCACACUGGAACUGAGACACGGUCCAGACUCCUACGGGAGGCAGCAGUAGGGAAUCUUCCGCAAUGGGCGAAAUCCUGACGGAGCAACGCCGCGUGAGUGAAGAAGGUCUUCGGAUCGUAAAACUCUGUUAUUAGGGAAGAACAAAUGUGUAAGUAACUAUGCACGUCUUGACGGUACCUAAUCAGAAAGCCACGGCUAACUACGUG